Molecule: ribosomal RNA, 161 nt
Filed under: uncultured bacterium
Lineage: Bacteria
Description: partial 16S rRNA
Rfam family: Bacterial small subunit ribosomal RNA
Source: RNAcentral
GGAAUCUUCCACAAUGGGCGCAAGCCUGAUGGAGCAACGCCGCGUGAGUGAAGAAGGUCUUCGGAUCGUAAAACUCUGUUGUUAGAGAAGAACACGAGUGAGAGUAACUGUUCAUUCGAUGACGGUAUCUAACCAGCAAGUCACGGCUAACUACGUGCCAA